GUCCACUAGGCUCUAGGGUUUCAGGAAAUAUUCUAAACAAUGUUACUCACCUCUUAUACGUAAUCGCAUAAUUAUGCCACAUGCAUAUCCGGAAAUCCACUGGUCUUGUAUUCAACUAAGCCAACUAACUUACGUAACUCAUGAGUUCACAACGCAUGGAGUCUCAUUUUCCUCUCAUACGGGUCCCGAAAAUCUCCACUAGUGAGGGUCAUUCCCUGGAAAGUACCUCUCAAGCGGUCAAGGCAUAGGUCACUGACGAUAAGACUUUUCCCAAGCGGUACCUCUUACAUGGGUUACGUGAAAGGUCACGUAUGUCCGUCGUCGAUGGAUCAUCUUUCCCUAAGUGACACCUCUCAUAUGGGUUACAUCAAGGGUCAUCGAUGUCCAUCCUUGAUGGAUCAUCUUUCCCUAAGUGGCACCUCUCACAUGAAUUACGUAAAGGGUCACGGAUGUCCAUCCUCGAUGGAUCAUCUUUCCCUAAGCGGUACCUCUUACAUGGGUUAUGUCAAGGGUCACGGUCUCUGAUUUUAGUACCACGUUCUUACCCGGUUGAUGCACUAUGUAAUCCUUCAACUCGGAUCUCAGGCAAAGGGAACAAUAUGAACCAUGAAGUUUAUCUCAACUACAUUAUUUUGAGAAAGCUUUUGCACACGUAAUGAACUUGUAAGCUUUAUUUCAACAACAGUGUUUUAGACACUAAUUAAUGGUGGUGAUGUGAUUACUCUUUAGGUUUUGUACGGAAUGUGUAUGAUUAAGGUAUGCUAUUGCCGCAAUUUAUGAAAAUGUAGGGAAAGUGAUUUUAAUAGGUUGCUAGAUUGGAAAGUUAUUAUCAUAAAUGAGAUAUAGUUUGUAUAUCCUCUUGUAAACUUGAGUUGAGUUGAAAUUUGGCAAAUGUCAUGAAUCACAUCUCCAAUUUAUGUCGUUUUUAAAUCUUA
Molecule: long non-coding RNA, 935 nt
Organism: Lathyrus oleraceus (garden pea)
Lineage: Eukaryota; Viridiplantae; Streptophyta; Magnoliopsida; Fabales; Fabaceae
Exons: 2
Source: RefSeq, a predicted model, not a curated record